CCCUCAGAAUGGUUGGAAAUCAUUCAUAGAGUGUAAAGGCAUAAGGGAGCUUGACUGCGAGACCUACAAGUCGAGCAGGGUCGAAAGACGGACUUAGUGAUCCGGUGGUUCCGCAUGGAAGGGCCAUCGCUCAACGGAUAAAAGCUACCCCGGGGAUAACAGGCUUAUCUCCCCCAAGAGUUCACAUCGACGGGGAGGUUUGGCACCUCGAUGUCGGCUCAUCGCAUCCUGGGGCUGUAGUCGGUCCCAAGGGUUGGGCUGUUCGCCCAUUAAAGCGGUACGCGAGCUGGGUUCAGAACGUCGUGAGACAGUUCGGUCCCUAUCCGUCGUGGGCGUAGGAAAUUUGAGAGGAGCUGUCCUUAGUACGAGAGGACCGGGAUGGACAUACCUCUGGUGUACCAGUUGUCGUGCCAACGGCAUAGCUGGGUAGCUAUGUAUGGACGGGAUAAGUGCUGAAAGCAUCUAAGCAUGAAGCCCCCCUCAAGAUGAGAUUUCCCAACUUCGGUUAUAAGAUCCCUCGAAGAUGACGAGGUUAAUAGGUUCGA
This 545-nucleotide ribosomal RNA is filed under the name Shigella flexneri. RNAcentral's name for it is "partial 23S ribosomal RNA". It matches the Rfam family "Bacterial large subunit ribosomal RNA", at positions 2319 to 2865 of the family's 2925-position model. The record is from RNAcentral. Lineage: Bacteria; Pseudomonadati; Pseudomonadota; Gammaproteobacteria; Enterobacterales; Enterobacteriaceae.